This 911-nucleotide small RNA is filed under the name uncultured zygomycete. RNAcentral describes it as "eukaryotic LSU rRNA". The stretch from base 627 to 911 matches the Rfam family "Eukaryotic large subunit ribosomal RNA", at positions 1 to 281 of the family's 3401-position model. Lineage: Eukaryota; Fungi. The record is from RNAcentral.
CUUGGUCAUUUAGAGGAAGUAAAAGUCGUAACAAGGUUUCCGUAGGUGAACCUGCGGAAGGAUCAUUCAUAAUAAGUGUUUUAUGGCACUUUUUAAAUCCAUAUCCACCUUGUGUGCAAUGUCAGUCGAUCUUCUUCAUGGAGAUCGACCAAACAUCAACCUUUAUUUUUUAACUCUUUGUCUGAAAAAUAUUAUGAAUAAGCAAUUCAAAAUACAACUUUCAACAACGGAUCUCUUGGCUCUCGCAUCGAUGAAGAACGCAGCGAAAUGCGAUACGUAAUGUGAAUUGCAGAAUUCAGUGAAUCAUCGAAUCUUUGAACGCAUAUUGCGCUCUUUGGUAUUCCGAAGAGCAUGCUUGUUUGAGUAUCAGUAAACACCUCAAAGCUUUUGGAUUUUUUAAUCGAAAGGCUUUGGACUUGAGCAAUCCCAACACCAAUCUUUUUGAGAUCGGUGGCGGGUUGCUUGAAAUGCAGGUGCAGCUGGACAUUCUCCUGAGCUAAAAGCAUAUUCAUUUAGUCCCGUCAAACGGAUUAUUACUUUUGCUGCAGCUAACAUAAAGGGAGUUUGACCGUAUUGGCUGACUGAUGCAGGAUUUCACAAGGGUCGGCAACGAUUCUUGUUAAACUCGAUCUCAAAUCAAGUAAGACUACCCGCUGAACUUAAGCAUAUCAAUAAGCGGAGGAAAAGAAACUAACAAGGAUUCCCCUAGUAACGGCGAGUGAAGCGGGAUGAGCUCAAAUUUAAAAUCUGGCUGGUUUACUAGUCCGAAUUGUAGUUUAUAGAAGCGUUUUCGGUGGCAGCCUGGGUAUAAAUCCUUUGGAAUAGGGUAUCAUAGAGGGUGAGAAUCCCGUCUUUGACUCAGUGCAUGCUACUAUGUGAUACGUUUUCAAAGAGUCGAGUUGUUUGGGAAU